CCUACGGGAGUCAGCCGUGAGGAAUAUUGGUCAAUGGGCGGAAGCCUGAACCAGCCAAGUAGCGUGCGGGAUGAAGGCCCUACGGGUCGUAAACCGCUUUUGCACGGGGAUAACACCCUCCACUUGUGGAGGUCUGCAGGUACCGUGCGAAUAAGGGCCGGCUAAUUCCGUGCCAGCAGCCGCGGUAAUACGGAAGGCACGAGCGUUAUCCGGAUUCCUUGGGCUAAAAGGGAGCGUAGGCUGGCUUCCAAGUCAGCUGUAAAAUCGCGCGGCUCAACCGCGCCCCGCAGUUGAAACUGGACGACUUGAGUUCACAACAGGCAGGCGGAAUUCGUGGUGUAGCGGUGAAAUGCAUAGAUAUCACGAGGAACCCCGAUUGCGAAGGCAGCCUGCCGGGGUGCGACUGACGCUGAGGCUCGAAGGUGCGGGUAUCAAACAGGAUUAGAUACCCGGGUAGUC
RNAcentral lists this ribosomal RNA (459 nucleotides) under uncultured bacterium. Its description in RNAcentral is "partial 16S ribosomal RNA". It matches the Rfam family "Bacterial small subunit ribosomal RNA", at positions 338 to 795 of the family's 1533-position model. The record is from RNAcentral.